AGCCUGUUGCAAUGUCCACAAAAUUUAUCUUCACUUCCAGAGAAAUGCUUCCUCUGAAGACCACUCUCCAGAGUCUCGAGAUGCUCACGAGCUUCUUCUGCUGCUUUCUCUUUCUACUCUUCUUCUGCCCCAAAUGUUUGCAUGACAAGAGAGAGAAAGAGAUGAAAAAAGAAAGAAAAUAUACAAAGUCGUCGAAAGUAUUAGAGAAGAAGCUGUUAUGGGUAUUUUAGUCUUUUAACUAAGAUUAACGGUGACUUAACUGAAAAUCUAACGGGAGGGACCAAUGGCAUAGUUUUUAAAAAUCACAGUGACUAAAUUGACGAUUUUUUAAAACAGAGGGAUGAAAUGUUAUAUUUCACUAAACUAGAGGG
This 371-nucleotide long non-coding RNA is filed under the name Manihot esculenta (cassava). RNAcentral describes it as "long non-coding RNA (MESC_LNC007167)". The record is from RNAcentral. Lineage: Eukaryota; Viridiplantae; Streptophyta; Magnoliopsida; Malpighiales; Euphorbiaceae.